Molecule: ribosomal RNA, 440 nt
Filed under: uncultured bacterium
Lineage: Bacteria
Description: partial 16S ribosomal RNA
Rfam family: Bacterial small subunit ribosomal RNA
Source: RNAcentral
CCUACGGGAGGCAGCAGUGGGGAAUAUUGCACAAUGGGGGAAACCCUGAUGCAGCGACGCCGCGUGAGUGAAGAAGGCUUUCGGGAUGUAAAGCUCUUUUAGCAGGGAAGAUAAUGACGGUACCUGACUAAGAUGCCCCGGCUCACAACGGGCCAGCAGACGCGGGAAUACGUAGGUGGCGAGCGUUAUCCGGAUGUACUGGGUGUAAAGGGGGAGGAGGUGGCGGGGCAAGUCAGAUGUGAAAACACGGGGCUCAACCCCGGGAGUGCAUUUGAAACUGUCCAGCUGGAGUGCAGGAGAGGUAAGCGGAAUUCCUAGUGUAGCGGUGAAAUGCAUAGAUAUUAGGAGGAACACCAGUGGCGAAGGCGGCUUACUGGACUGUAACUGACACUGAGGCUCGAAAGCGUGGGGAGCAAACAGGAUUAGAUACCCUAGUAGUC